AGGAAAGGUGCCCAUGAGCUCUUAAACCAUUAUAUGAUGUGCUAUUUUUUCCAAUUUGGAAUCUUGAGUCCUAACAUUCUACUACGAAGAGAUCGUGUUAUAUUGUGAAAUAACUCGAACCAGCCACCACAAACAUGACGAAAAAGUGAUUGAUUUUGGGUACCAAUUUACGAUAGGUUUCUGUAGAAAUGUCACCUAAAUUUAUACCCAAGUUUCAAUUUGUCACCUUAAAGAAAACUUUAAGAGUAAUGUCACCUUAAUUUUUCUGAUCCCCUUUCUCCUUGCUGAUAACCAACCGUGAGGAAGCUAAAGGGGGCAGGUGGCCACUGCCCCUCCUCUUCCCCUUCCUCUCCUCAUCUCCCCUUCUUUUUCUCCCAUAUUUUCUUUUCCUCUUCUCCCAUUCCCCUCCCCAGAUAGUCUAGAUCUGUUUGUCUAUUUGUUUUGUUUGGUUGUUUUUGCAGUGUUCUAGGUGGCUGGUGUUGUCUUUGUCUCAGCGGCGGCGACAAUAGUGACGCUGGAUUGUGUCUCUCCUUGGGAGAGUUGUGAUACCUGGUGGCUGAUAUUUUGUCUCUAUUUUAACGGCGGCGGAAACAACGACGCUGGUGGUAAUUGUUGGGAGGUGCUCUUCUUUACUCUGCACCGACCGAAGAACUAUGCUUGGUCAUAGGAGGUUUUCUUUGUCAGGUUCUGAGUUGAAGUGAAGUGCUUAUCAUGGGUCUUUUUAUUAUUUUUCUGUGUUCGUCCUCCGUGUUCUCUCCUGGUUUCUGCUAUGGUAUGACUUAUAGUUUGUAUGAGUGUCAAAGGACUAUGAUUUUGCUCAUAGAAGGCUUCUUUUGACAAUUGGGAUGUUCUGCGGUCCUUUCAUAUGAGUUUACUAUUUGGGGUUUCUACGGUUCUCUCAUGUGGGUCUACUGUGUUGAUCUCUAGUUGCGGUUCUUAUCGGAGGUCUUUGUGUUAGGUUUUGUUUUUAACUUGUUCUUUUAUUGUAAUGGUCCAAAGUGACUUGAAUUGGACUCUCAUGUUAGUCCAUGACGUGUGUGGUACUCUUUCCUCCCAUGUGAUUUGUCCCAUGAGGUUGUCCUAUGAAGGUUUUAACGAGGCCACUGUAUUAUGUCGCUCUUUGUACGUCUGUGGUUUUAUGAAUGAAUUCUACUUCUAAA
This 1160-nucleotide long non-coding RNA is filed under the name Prunus dulcis (almond). Its description in RNAcentral is "sRNA ncRNA". The record is from RNAcentral. Lineage: Eukaryota; Viridiplantae; Streptophyta; Magnoliopsida; Rosales; Rosaceae.